UACUGUCAUGUUGACUAGUAGAGUAAGAUCAUUGCAUUGAGCUUGACCCUACCCCCUGAGGGUCGUGUUAAUACCAUGUUGACAAGUAAAGAUAGAGCAUAUUAUCAUGAGCAUGAUGAUGAGUUAAAUCAAGAGUUUAUGAAAACCCCGUCGGGUGCCACUAAUGCCCGAGGGUGAUGAUGAGUUGGUGAUCACUUUUGGUGAAGUGAUGCACCGGGAAUUUUGCGUGUGUGGUUUCGGAAAUGGGAUUAGAUUUAUGAUGUGUCGACCGUCCCAACCUUACCAGUACGACCACGUUACCCCUUUAUGGGACGGGGCUUUGUUGAUUACUUUGGUCGGUACUAGCAAAGAG
This 352-nucleotide long non-coding RNA is filed under the name Hordeum vulgare. RNAcentral's name for it is "long non-coding RNA (HVUL_LNC015861)". Lineage: Eukaryota; Viridiplantae; Streptophyta; Magnoliopsida; Poales; Poaceae. The record is from RNAcentral.